This is a transfer RNA of Ovis aries (sheep), 72 nucleotides long. It matches the Rfam family "tRNA". From Rfam's summary of the family: Transfer RNA (tRNA) molecules are approximately 80 nucleotides in length. Lineage: Eukaryota; Metazoa; Chordata; Mammalia; Artiodactyla; Bovidae. The record is from Rfam.
UCCCUGGUGGCUCAGAGGUUAAAGCGUCUGCCUCCAAUGCAGGAGACCCGGGUUCGAUCCCUGGGUCGGGAA